CCACGGCCGCGGGUCCGGCAGCRGCACUGGAGGCGCUCCCCCCUCCCCGGCACGCCGUUACCCUCUGAGCUGGCUGUGAAAAGGGGACCUGACCCAGGGGCAGCUCCAGCUGGAGGCUAUGAGAACUCGCAACAAGUAGAAGCUGAGAUCCUACAGCCACAAGCCUCUGGAAGCUGGGUCUCUGAGAAACCGUUGCUUAAAUGUGGCAGAGGACAAAAAUCACCAAAGGUGGUCUCCUUCUCCCUCUCACCUUCUUUCCCACUGCAUCCAGCCCUCUGUCACCCAGCCAGGAUCAUAACUGAACUAUGUAAUUGAGUGUAUAGUAUUCCACAAGUCCUCCAGCCCCAUCUUGUUCAGAUUUUCUGCUCCAUCAGCAGCACAAAGAGCAGCUGACAUUUAACAAGCUCCGAGCACACAAGGCUCAGGUAGGUCUGAAGGAUUUUCUUGACUUCUUUGCUGGUGGCUAAUGCACAAAUGCAAGGUGAGGAGAGCAUCCCCAGCUAUUCACUGGGGAGGGAUCAUUACAGUGAGGAUCUUCUCUUCUACAGUUACCAAAA
RNAcentral lists this long non-coding RNA (557 nucleotides) under Dromaius novaehollandiae (emu). RNAcentral's name for it is "lncRNA (ENSDNVG00000017617.1)". Lineage: Eukaryota; Metazoa; Chordata; Aves; Casuariiformes; Dromaiidae. The record is from RNAcentral.